GGGUUGUGACCGUGGCGGCAUGUGAGUGGUUAUCGAUGUGAGUUCUUCGUCAGGCUCCCUGCAUUUCUGCGGCCAACUGAUGAGUACCAUAUCUCUUUCAAACCUAUGCAUUAAAUUUUGCUAGGUUUAGUGUUGCCUUCAUGGGAAAUUGAUUGAGCUCGGAAUUGAAUGUUAAAUGAUGUUAUUUGUAGCGUCCCUCCUUUUAUCCAUGUGUAUAUGAGGGGCGUACAAAGUUGGACACUUCUUCGGUAGUUUGAUUUCAUUCGGAAAUCAUUUUUUAUCGUUGAAUGUUCCUAAUAUUUUACGGACGUUGUGCAUGCUUAAGAUUUCGGGGAAGCCUUCCCGUGGAUUAUAUAACUCGGUUUUGUCCGCACUUUGUGAAAGACGCCUACGCGGGUCGUGGCGCUCCUUUUUCAGGAGUGCAAACGUCAUUGUGUA
Molecule: unclassified non-coding RNA, 438 nt
Filed under: Allium narcissiflorum
Lineage: Eukaryota; Viridiplantae; Streptophyta; Magnoliopsida; Asparagales; Amaryllidaceae
Description: partial external transcribed spacer
Source: RNAcentral